AGAGUUUGAUCAUGGCUCAGAACGAACGCUGGCGGCGUGGAUAAGACAUGCAAGUCGAACGCUGGUUUGCGGGUAGCAAUAUUUGCAAACUGGAGUGGCGCAAGGGUGUGUAACACGUGGGUAAUCUGCCAUGAAGUCUGGGAUAACUUGCUGAAAGGCGAGCUAAUACCGGAUGUGAACGCAAGUUCAAAGUUGGGGACCGAAAGGCCUGACGCUUCAUGAUGAGCCCGCGGCCUAUCAGCUAGUUGGUGAGGUAAUGGCUCACCAAGGCUAAGACGGGUAGCUGGUCUGAGAGGACGACCAGCCACACUGGAACUGAGACACGGUCCAGACACCUACGGGUGGCAGCAGUCGAGAAUUUUUCUCAAUGGGCGAAAGCCUGAAGGAGCGACGCCGCGUGGGGGAUGAAUGGCUUCGGCCCGUAAACCCCUGUCAUUUGCGAACAAAUUGUUUCACCCAACACGUGAAGCAUUGAUUGUAGCGGAAGAGGAAGGGACGGCUAACUCUGUGCCAGCAGCCGCGGUAAUACAGAGGUCCCAAGCGUUGUUCGGAUUCACUGGGCGUAAAGGGUGCGUAGGCGGCCAAGUAAGUUUGAUGUGAAAUCCCGCAGCUCAACUGCGGAACUGCAUUGAAUACUAUUUGGCUCGAGGAAUGGAGGGGAGACUGGAAUUCUCGGUGUAGCAGUGAAAUGCGUAGAUAUCGAGAGGAACACCAGUGGCGAAGGCGAGUCUCUGGACAUUUCCUGACGCUCAGGCACGAAAGCCAGGGGAGCAAACGGGAUUAGAUACCCUAGUAGUCC
RNAcentral lists this ribosomal RNA (799 nucleotides) under uncultured bacterium. Its description in RNAcentral is "bacterial SSU rRNA". It matches the Rfam family "Bacterial small subunit ribosomal RNA", at positions 8 to 796 of the family's 1533-position model. The record is from RNAcentral.